AGUUGUUCGUUUGAUGGUUGAU
RNAcentral lists this unclassified non-coding RNA (22 nucleotides) under Dictyostelium discoideum. The record is from RNAcentral. Lineage: Eukaryota; Evosea; Eumycetozoa; Dictyosteliales; Dictyosteliaceae.